ACGCAUCACUGGUGUUCGGGUUGUCAUGCCAAUGGCACUGCCCGGUAGCUAAAUGCGGAAGAGAUAAGUGCUGAAAGCAUCUAAGCACGAAACUUGCCCCGAGAUGAGUUCUCCCUUGGACUUUAAGUCCACUGAAGGAACGUUGAAGACGACGACGUUGAUAGGCCGGGUGUGUAAGCGCAGCGAUGCGUUGAGCUAACCGGUACUAAUGAACCGUGAGGCUUAACCUUACAACGCCGAAG
This 242-nucleotide ribosomal RNA is filed under the name Salmonella enterica subsp. enterica serovar Adelaide. RNAcentral describes it as "partial 23S ribosomal RNA". It matches the Rfam family "Bacterial large subunit ribosomal RNA", at positions 2701 to 2925 of the family's 2925-position model. Lineage: Bacteria; Pseudomonadati; Pseudomonadota; Gammaproteobacteria; Enterobacterales; Enterobacteriaceae. The record is from RNAcentral.